UCGCGUCGCCGUUUGGUUUUUUUUUGGUUCGGUUAUUUCCGCGUAAUCGGCAUCCGGCACUUGUUUGAACGCGUUCCUGGCGAGGUUCCCGGAGCUACCUCCCGGUGUUUGUUGGACCUGUUGGACAGAUCCGCCGGGUUGAUCUGUUGUGAAGCAACAAAAAUUGCAGGAGGAGCCGCCAUGACGUGCAGGAAGGACGCGCUGGAAAGGUCCUGAACGCGUUCCCGGUGCUGGUGCUGGUGUUGACUGGACAGAUCCACCAGGCGACGGAUCCGGUACGGCUCCCGAAUGGCGACGAGAAGUUUAGCAACCACGAGGGCUAAUUUCUCGUGGAUUGUGCUGCUUGAUUGCGCGAAUGCCGACAGCUCCGUUCAUUAAAGUAGACGACGUGUUCAGCUUCAUCAAGAAUAUAUUUUCGAGCAGUGUGGACGCACUGGAACUAAACUAAAGGAAACGUGAACCAGUUCCAUCGAUCCGUGGAUGGCUUGAUUGAACCGGAAUUUCAAAAGAAAACGGCGUGGAGAGAAAGCGUUAAAUGAAAUUUAAAUAAAAUGCAAUAAAAAAAAACAA
This is a long non-coding RNA of Culex quinquefasciatus (southern house mosquito), 570 nucleotides long. RefSeq lists it as uncharacterized. The transcript has 3 exons. Lineage: Eukaryota; Metazoa; Arthropoda; Insecta; Diptera; Culicidae. The record is from RefSeq and is a predicted model, not a curated record.